RNAcentral lists this non-coding RNA (29 nucleotides) under Mus musculus (house mouse). Lineage: Eukaryota; Metazoa; Chordata; Mammalia; Rodentia; Muridae. The record is from RNAcentral.
UAUUUAACUGCCCAAAGGAUAGUCUUUUC